AAAAUACAUAGCCUCAGCAACAGAACAGCUAAUAAUUUUUAAAUAUGAAGGAACAAUUAUGUGACCCAUACAUGUGAACUUGCACAAAAACUUCCAUGCUAAAAGGUAAAAAAAGCAGGCAUCAUCACAUUAUGAGUUUUUUACCCUACUUAUCUUUAGCACUUUUCUGUAUUGCAACCAAGAACCAAAUCCAACUUAAAAAUUACAAACUUUCAACUAGUUCACCAUUCCAAAAGUAUUCAUAUUAAAAAGGAAGGAGGGGGAGGGAGGGAAGGGAGGAGGACAAUACGUCUGGAGAGGCAAUUUUGCACAUUGCAUAAAAUGAUUACCUUUGCAAGUGCAAGACGAAGU
Molecule: unclassified non-coding RNA, 351 nt
Filed under: Hevea brasiliensis (rubber tree)
Lineage: Eukaryota; Viridiplantae; Streptophyta; Magnoliopsida; Malpighiales; Euphorbiaceae
Source: RNAcentral